CUCAUCUCCUCCCCUCCCUCCAUCAGAUGGGCGCCCUCCUCCUCUCCUUUUCCCAUGGCAGCAGUUCCAACUCCCUCUCCUUCCCCUCCAUCAAAACCGAAGGAAAAACUUGUCUGCAGUUCCGUUUUGCCACUGCACAUCUCUUUUCGUUGCCGGAUUCCUGGAAUGAAUUCUUGACAUCUUGUUGCGGAAAAACAUGGUGAUGUAGUGUGCCAUGGAGAUCACUCCGGUGUGUGUGUCACCAUCUCUCUGAACCUGCAGUGGAAUCCUAUCAACCACCAUUACCGUUGCUUCUGUACAUGACAUGAUCAUCUCUGAAGUGAAAUUGGCGCCAUCUCAUUGAUCACCAACCAUUUGCUGUCCAUCAUUGGUGUUAGACGCCAUUGAGGUCUUGUCCAGCAACCAUGAACCUCGAUGUUCUUGUGAUGCUUGUACUAGUUGAUUGCUAACGUUAGAAGAGGGGCUCUACAAGGAUGAUCAAGAAGUUGGAUAGCAAGAAUUUGGAAGGCAAGUGUAACAUGAGUUCCCUUGUUACCUAAUAACUAUUUAAUCACCUCUUUAUGUGCAUGUGUCUGAUAUGAUAAACCCCUAAGGACUUUACCUAGAACUUUUGUUAUCCUCAAUCCCUUGUUACCAUGGGUUAUGCAUAUGGGUAGUUUUGCUUAGUCUGCAAUCACCAAACAAUAUAAUGUUAAUCUUGAUUAAUGGAUUAUGUAAUCAAUGAUAAAAUGAUG
This is a long non-coding RNA of Sorghum bicolor (sorghum), 734 nucleotides long. RefSeq lists it as uncharacterized. Lineage: Eukaryota; Viridiplantae; Streptophyta; Magnoliopsida; Poales; Poaceae. The transcript has 4 exons. The record is from RefSeq and is a predicted model, not a curated record.